This 1128-nucleotide long non-coding RNA is filed under the name Pan troglodytes (chimpanzee). RNAcentral describes it as "lincRNA". The record is from RNAcentral. Lineage: Eukaryota; Metazoa; Chordata; Mammalia; Primates; Hominidae.
AAUGCUGGGUCCCGCCCCUUCUUCCGGCUGGGUUCCACUACCUGCAAGGCUGGAACUGACAGCCACUGUGCAAACAAAAAAAGGCAACAAGCAUGCUGGGACCAUUCUGUCUGCUGUUUGGGUCUCACUUGUCCUGACAACUAAAAAUCAUCAGUGGAAAGAGGUUGCAGCAUUUGAAAAUUAUCAAAAAGCAGCAGAGACAAGUUUGGGUGGUUUCCAGGGGAGAGGCACUGAAAGUGAUUGAUUCCUAUCAAAAGCACAAGGACAGGAAGCAAGAUCUCCCUAUGUUGCCAAGGUUGGUCUGGAACUCCUGAGCUCAAGUGAUCCUCCUGCCUCAGCCUCCUAAAGUGUUAGAAUUAUUGAUGUGAGCCACUGCAUGUGGUCAAUUCUGUCAUUCUUGACAACAAGGAUGAAGCUGGGAGAUACUGUGCUGAGUAGAAUAAACCAAGCACAAAAAGACAAAUGCCUCAUGAGCUCACUUAUAUGUAGAAUCUGUAACAGUUGAACUCAUCAGAGAGCAGAAUAAUGGUUACCAGGGACUAGCAGUAGGCUGGAGGGAGAGGUGGGGAGGUGUCGGUGAAAUAAUAUAAAAUUUCAGUUAGAAAAAAUAAGAUUUAAGAGAUCUAUUGCACAACAUGGUGACUAUAGUUAAUAACACUGUAUUGUAUUCUUGAAAAUCACUAAGAUUUGAAUAUUCUCACCACAAAAAAUAAGCAUAUGAGGUAAUGCAUAUGUUAAUGGCUCAAUUUAGCCAUUUCCAAUGAUUAAAUAUUUGAAAGCAGUUAUAUACCAUAAAUGUGUACCUUUUUUAAUUAAAAAAAUUAUUUUUUAGUAGGAUGCUCUGAAAUUGGAACUGAAUAUUACUUAAACCUUGAAGUCUGGGAACAGGGACAUAGUGCUUUUCCAAAACUGCCAGAAAGGUGUCUCUUAAUGCUCUAUGGAUAGAAGUGGCCACCUGUCUUACAGGCUGACGCUGGAGCCCAGCAAAAGUUAUUUUGGUAGACCCUUAUGGUUUAGCAAUGCAAAAAGAGAACCUACUUACUUUCUUUGUAUUAACUCUGGAUACUGAUAAACUAAAUAAAAAUACCUUGGCCAGGGAUAUUAAUUAUUUUGUUUAUUCAUAUAAAA